UCCAGCGUCGGUAGUCAUCCACCCAUCCACUUGCGUGGCAAGGCGAGGCAACAGCCGGGCCGGUUGUCGCAAUUGAGCGGGCCUAGCUCGUCCUACUAGUAUGAGGAUCGGCACAGUAUGUUGCGUAAUCCUACCACUAACUGUGGAGAGGUAGAGGCAACACAUGUUCCGGUUGUUCUCAAAUUCGGAGAGCAUUAUUAGGGUCAGGUCGAGGCAACCAAAAGGGCCACGAGCCUUUAUCAUGAGCAACAUCCGAAACCAACAGCGGGAGCGAGGCUGCCUUGAUAGCACCAGGCACGAAACAUGCCAGCACCAAGAGGCAACGCCGCAAGCGCCAUAUGGCCGCAGCAGCACACCCAAAGGCGUCCACCGCGAGGCAACUGUGUAUGAAGCACCAAUACCCGUAGGUCGGGUAACAUCACGCAAGCACUUGAAAGGCAACAGUAAGAUAGCUCACACGAAUGAAAAGACACGGCGCCGGUAGUCGGCCGCACGAAGACGGGGGACCUACC
This 512-nucleotide unclassified non-coding RNA is filed under the name Anthoxanthum gunckelii. RNAcentral's name for it is "Hierochloe gunckelii partial external transcribed spacer". The record is from RNAcentral. Lineage: Eukaryota; Viridiplantae; Streptophyta; Magnoliopsida; Poales; Poaceae.